Molecule: long non-coding RNA, 4801 nt
Organism: Piliocolobus tephrosceles (Ugandan red Colobus)
Lineage: Eukaryota; Metazoa; Chordata; Mammalia; Primates; Cercopithecidae
Source: Ensembl
UUUUUUUUUUUUUUUUUUUUUUUUUUUUUUUUUUUUUUUUUUUUUUCCUUUUUUUUUUUUUUUUUUCUUUACUCUAAAACAUAUUUUAUUAAAAUGACGACCGAUUUAAAUAAGAGACCAGUAAGAACAAGAAGAAAAAAAAUCAUGAAUUCGUUUUACUAUAAUAGUGAUUACAGUAAUGAUUUAAAUAAUGAGGAAACUAAAGCAGAAGCAAAUGUGGUGAAAAAAAGUAACACUUUAAUUAAUAAAACAAAGGAAGAACAGAAGAAAUAUUGUGCUUUAUAUAAAAUUGGUAAUGAUACAAACAGUAAUAAUAGUAUUAGUAGUUCUCGUUAUAAUAAUAUAAAUAAUGUAUCAGCUAUUGAUUCCGUUAUGAAUGAUUUAAAUGAUAGUAGUCGUAAUAGCUCAUUAACACUUCAAGAGAAAGGAAAUGAAAUAGUAGAAGAAAAGAUCAAUAAUAACAGUGGUGCAAUUGAUGGUAAUACUGUAGAUAGUAAUGUUGUGGAUGGUAAUGUUAUGGAUGGUAAUGUUGUAGAUGUUAGUGUUGUAGAUGAUAGUGUUGUAGAUGAUAGUGUUGUUGAUAGUAGUAUGAAUAAUAAUAGUGUAAUAAGCGAUAAUAUGGUCAAUGACAAUACGGAAAAUAUAAAUAGUACUAAUUACGCAAGUGAUGAUAGUAGUACGAAAUUAAAAAGUAUUAAAUCAAAUGAUAUUGCAAAUAUGAAAGCAGAAAUAAAAUUAGAAAGUAAUACAAGAAUAGAAAAGAGUAAAAGUUAUACUACCAACGGAACAAAUGUUUCUAACAGUAAAACAAGUUGUAACCGUGUAAAAAAUGUAUCAAGUGGUAAUGAGACUAAUUAUGCAAAAAUGGCUGAACAAUUACCACAUGUUGUAGGUGUUAGAUUUGACAAAUCACAAAAUAGAUGGUUGUCUGGAAUAUGUAUUAAUGGAAGAUGUAUUAAUAGAUAUUUUCCUGUUUAUAAAUAUGGAUUUGAAGAAGCUAGAAGGUUAGCAAUUCAGCAUAGAAAAAAUUUCGAAACGGCUAAUUUAGGUCAUAUAAAAAAACAACAAGGUGAAUCAAAAGCAUCUCACUUGAAUCUACUUAAUAUCAAUUCAAAAAUACCAAACGGGUUUAAAGAUAUUCAUGGAAAAAAUAAACUAAUUUUUAAAUAUCUUUCAUACGAUUCGAUUCAAAAGGAGUGGGUAAUAACAUAUGAUUAUGACAACAAAGUGCUAGUAAACAAGUUUCCUGUUGAUAUAUAUGGGUAUAACAAUGCGUAUGAAAUGGCUGUUCAGUGUAUUAAUAAAUUAUCUAUAUGCAACCAAAACAAGUUAUGUAAAGGGUUAGGUAAAAAUGAGAAUAAAAAAAAUUGCAAAGAUGACAUGAAAUCACAAUUUUCGAAUAAUUUUAAUAAUUUAACUAGUGAAGAAAGUGGUAUGUCAUUACCAUCAGUAGGUAAGGAGAAGUUUAACGAUAUAAUGAACAUGAAUAAUUAUAAUUUAUAUUAUGAUUUUGAGGGCACAACUAGUGGUAACCAACAAAAUAUACAUACGAUCAGCAACAGUAGUAUUGGUAAUAACUAUAACGAUAACAAAUACAACAUAAACUACAACAACAAUGACAAUAUAAACUACAACAACAAUGACAAUAUAAACUACAACAACAAUGACAAUAUAAACUACAAUAAUGAUGACAAUAUAAACUACAACAACAAUGAUAACAACGGUAGUGCUGAUUUUAUGUUGCAUAAAAAACAUAAGUCUUUAAACGAUAUGGACUAUCUAAAUAAUAGUUACGGUUCCAUAUUAAACGGAAUUUCAAGUUUUUAUAAAAAUAAUUCUUUGUUUUUAAAUAAUGAUAUGAAACUAUUAACAAGAUUAAAACAAAUGAACUCAAGCUCACUAAAUAAUAACAUUGUUAAUGAUGAUAAUGGCGACAAUAGUUAUAAUGACAAUAUUGAUGAUAACAAUAAUAGUAGUUGGAAUAGGAAUGACAAUAGCAAUGACAAUAGCAAUGACAAUAGCAAUGACAAUAGCAAUGACAAUAGCAAUGAAAAUAGCAAUGACAAUAGCAAUGAAAAUAGCAAUGACAAUAACAAUAGUAUUAAUAAUUAUCAAACUAAUUUAAUAAGCAACAUGCAUAUUAAUAAUAUGGGAACUGGGUUUCACAAAAAAGAGCUUUAUAAUAAUAAUAAUAAUAAUAAUAAUAAUAUAUUAAAUGAUGGUAGCUAUGAUCAUAAUAUCAAUAAUUUUUGUAGUAACAACUUUAACGAAGAGUUUAAUGAAAAUCGUAACAACUGUAAUAAUGAUUUUGCAUAUGAACUAUCCAAUGAUAAAGUGCUUCAUAAUAUAAAUGAAGAAAAUAAUUAUUUUUUAAGUAGUACACAUUUUAUGAACGAAACAGAAAAGGACUCGUGUUUAACAGAUACAAAUAACAGUUCUCAUUUGAAAAAAACUAAUGGAGGGGGUAGUAGUAGUAGUAAUAAUAACAGCAACGGUGACAGUAGUAAUAGUAGUAGUAAGUUUUGCCAAAUGUUAAAUGGUAUAAUACCAAAGGAUGAAGAGAAAAACAAAAAGGAUAUUUUAAAUAACUCUUUUAAUCAUAACAACUUAAACAAGCAAUACGAAGAGGAUAACUUUUUAUUUCAAAUAGAAAAUGAAAAUAAUAAAAAAGCAAACAAAUUGGUAAAUGUAAAUGCUCUCCCUAAUCAUUAUGAUAAACUGGAAAGUUAUAAAAACUUGAUGAAUAAUGUUUGUAACUAUAAGAAUGGUAAAAAAAGAAGUGGUAAUAAUUCAUUAAAUUCAAAAAAUUUAACCAAUUAUGAAUUUUUAAAUAUACAAGAUAAGAAAAAUGUUAUUACUAAUGAUUGUGAUAAUACUAGCGAUGGUAACAUGCUGAAUUUAAAAUCGAACAAGCGAUUAUUAAACAGCAUUAAUAAUAAUGACAUAUGUAAUAAUUUAAUAGAUUAUAAUAAUAGUAAUAAUAAAAAUAAUGACCAUAAAGCAAUGCCAUAUGAAGGAAUAAUAAAUAACGAAAAUAAAAAAGAUAGUUUUGAUGAAAUGAAAAAUGAUACAAUAAAAAAUGAUACAAUAAAAAAUAAUAAUAAAAGUUUAACAGAUAAUCUAAUUGAUUAUCAUAUGCCAAAUUUGAAUCUAAUGCUUAAAAACAUAUUAAACAAUAAUAGUGUUGAUAAUAAUGAAAAAAUUAUAAAAGGUAUUACCAUGUUAAAAAAUAUGACAAUGCAAGAUAAGUUAAAUGCAAUGAAUGUUAAUCGAUCAUGUGGUGGUAGUUACCCUUCGCUUAAUGAUGAUCAUAAUAAUAUGACUAACUUGUAUAAAACGGAAGGUAUGGACAAUAACUUGUUCCAAAACAAUUAUGCGAUGAACAUACAAAACUUAUUCAAAAUACAUUAUAAUGAUCCUGUAAAUUAUGAGGAUUAUUUUGUAGUGAAGAAUGUAAAACUGGGGGAUGUCGAUGGUGAUGAUGAUGAUGGUGAUGAUGAUGAUGAUGAUAAUAAUAAUAAUAAUAAUAAUAAUAAUAACAUUUUAAACGGGACUUCCGAACAAAUAGAAAAGGAUGCCAAUCAAUCUGACGAGGUUGGAAAAGUUAACCAAACUGAUAAAACUGAAAAAAAUGGAGAGAGUGGUGAAAAUGAAAAAAUUUAUCAGCCAAAUGAUACUCCAAACACUGAAAAAGUUUUUAACGACGAUAAAAAAAACAAAAUAAAUAUUUUAAAGUCUGAAAAAGAAAAAGAUGUUAAUAUGAAAGACCCAGUUGACACAAAUGAUAAUGUAGAUAUUGAUACUCAAUCUACUAAUAAUAUCAUUAAUGACGAUUUGAUUAAACAGAAUGUUCCCUUGAAUAGAGAUAAAGAAUUAUGUAGUACUACAUAUGCUGAAAAUGACGAUGAUAAUGAUAAGGUGAACCAAAUUAGUGAUAAGAAUAACGAAUCGGAUAAUCAGUUGAUCGUACCAAAUGAACAGUUUGAAGAAUACAAUGACAUAGCUUUAAAAUUGAAACCAUGGAAAAAAAAUAUCAAAUGGAAUAAACUCAAAAAGCUUUGGGUAUGUAUAUAUUGGGAUAAUGAUGGUAAUGAAAUAACAAAACAUAUUUGUGUCAAAAAUAAAGAAGGGAUAGAAAUAGGAUAUAAUUAUUGUAUUAAAUGUAUACUGGAUUCGUUUGAUUAUUAUUUAUUAAGCAUAUUAAACAAAUUGCCGAAGAUUGAUGAGAUUUCUUAUAGUAUAGAAAAAAUGUGUUUUAUACUUCAAUGUAAGAUUAAUAAGGAAAGUAUUGGAAGUGCUCACAAUGUUGACAGUGGUAACUAUAACAACAGCGGCAAAAACGAUGAAAAUGGAGAAAAGGAUGAAAAUGGAGAAAAGGAUGAAAAUGGAGAAAAGGAUGAAAAUGGAGAAAAGGAUGAAAAUGGAGAAAAGGAUGGAAAUGGAGAAAAGGAUGAAAAUGGAGAAAAGGAUGAAAAUGGAGAAAAGGAUGGAAAUGGAGAAAAGGAUGAAAAUGGAAAAAAGGACAAAAACGAUGAAAACGAUGAAAACGAUGAAAACGAUGAAAACGAUGAAAACGACAAAAACGACAAAAACGACAAAAACGAUAACAAUAACGAACAAAUAGUCUACUCUUUUGAAGGAGGAAUAUAUAACGCCUAUUUAAAUUGUAUUGAACAUUUGAAUAAACAAAAAAAAAACGAAAAGAGAAAGCAAGAAAAAGGAGAAAUGCUUGAUAAUGAUGAUGAUGAUGAUGAUGAUGAUAAUGAUGAUGCAUUAUAUGUUGUGGAAGAAGAAAAUAAAA